This 342-nucleotide RNase P RNA is filed under the name Micrococcales bacterium 73-13. Its description in RNAcentral is "RNase P RNA component class A". It matches the Rfam family "Bacterial RNase P class A". From Rfam's summary of the family: Ribonuclease P (RNase P) is a ubiquitous endoribonuclease, found in archaea, bacteria and eukarya as well as chloroplasts and mitochondria. Its best characterised activity is the generation of mature 5'-ends of tRNAs by cleaving the 5'-leader elements of precursor-tRNAs. Lineage: Bacteria; Bacillati; Actinomycetota; Actinomycetes; Micrococcales. The record is from RNAcentral.
CGGGUCGGCCAGGCGGCCGCGUCGCCCGCAAGGGCGCCGAGGAACGUCCGGGCUCCGCAGAGCAGGGCGGUGGGUAACACCCACCCGGAGCGAUCCGCGAGAAAGCGCAACAGAGAGCAGACCGCCGGCCUCGGCCGGUAAGGGUGAAACGGUGGGGUAAGAGCCCACCAGCGCCCCGGGCGACCGGGGCGGCUAGGCAAGCCUCGCCCGGAGCAAGGCCAGACAGGGGACCAUGGGGCUGCUCGUCCCGUCCCCGGGUAGGCCGCUGGAGUCGUGCGGCAACGCACGACCGAGAUGGAUGGCCGUCCACGACAGAACCCGGCGUAUCGGCCGGCCCGUUCA